UACAGAGGGGGCAAGCGUUGUUCGGAAUUACUGGGCGUAAAGGGCGCGUAGGCGGCCUGUUAAGUCGAACGUGAAAUCCCCGGGCUCAACCCGGGAACUGCGUCCGAUACUGGCAGGCUUGAAUCCGGGAGAGGGAUGCGGAAUUCCAGGUGUAGCGGUGAAAUGCGUAGAUAUCUGGAGGAACACCGGUGGCGAAGGCGGCAUCCUGGACCGGCAUUGGCGCUGAGGCGCGAAAGCCAGGGGAGCAAACGGG
This 253-nucleotide ribosomal RNA is filed under the name uncultured bacterium. RNAcentral's name for it is "partial 16S ribosomal RNA". It matches the Rfam family "Bacterial small subunit ribosomal RNA", at positions 524 to 776 of the family's 1533-position model. The record is from RNAcentral.